UGCGCAGUUUCGCAAUAUAAUAAAAAAAAUUAUUAUACAAUUUUAUGGUUUUAUAUAUAUGGAAGCAAGCAAAGCCACAAGAAUCAGAGAAAAAGAUGUGAAAAUUAAAGUAUAUAUACAAUAAUAAUUAAUCUAAAAAACAGUUUGCAAUACCUUCUGUAAAGAAAUAUCCUCACCCACAGCUGAGAACUUCACUUGGCUAUCAAUUACAGAUAUAUAAAGCCUGUUACCUAGAAACAAAAAAUUAGGUCAGCCAGCUGAAACAUAUUUAUAAACCAACAUUGGAGAUAGUACUCCAUUUAUAAAAAAAAUUACAAGACUCAAAACCAAGUCGACUCAGCAAAAUCAUAACCGAUUACAUUCAUCCCACUCAGCUCCUCCAAUAUAUCCAACAUUCCCUUCAUAUUUACAAAAGGUAAGUGGUCCUAUAUAUCCCACUCAAGAAUGCAUAAGUUUCUUCAAUCUUAAGUAUCUAAAGUUUUCCUCUACGUUUAUAGAAACUUCGGAAGCAUCUCCCUAUAGUUCUUCAAGUACACGACAUAGAUAUAUGAGUGUUUAUGUGUUAUGCCAAAACAAUACAUGACACCCAUUUGUCUAGUAUGCACCCAGAGAACAUGAGGAGCAGCUGCUGAAAAACCCAUUUUUACGUGGGAAAAAAAUUUCAGGCACUAGCUACCAUAGAAAUCUAUGCAUUACCAAACUGUCCAAGCCUAGAUAAUUCAAGAAUUAUUAAUAGACAUAAGAUCCUCACUAUCAUCCAAAAGAUGACACUAAUAAAACAUGUGUCUAUUAAUAAUUUCUUAAAGGAGUUUAAGCUUUCAAUGCAUGUAUCAAAAGUUUAAAAUUGAAUCUGAAACUUGAAUAACACAUAAAAAUCAUAAAUCUCUUCAAUUUAUUCCUAAUAAAAUGUAGCAUUUUUUCACAUUUCAUUUCUUAAGCAAAACCAUAAAAAAUUACAAACAACAAAUACAUUUUCUAGCACUGAUGCACAUUAUGUUUACUGAGCAAUAAGUUUUAAGUCAUUCAUAUUAAAAUACUUCUUCCUAUUCUAUCAACAAAUAACUAGUAUGUACACACAAUUAAUAAAUUAAAUGUAACCUGGUUGUGAAUCUUGCAAAGUCUUCCUAUUUGGUUUUUUUUUUUUUGGUGGUGGUUGGGGGGGGGGGGGGUGGUUAUGCUCAUUUGUAUGUUGUUAACAGAAAUUGAUCCAAAGCCUCCGUUUUAAUUAGCUUCAUUAUAGCCAAUGAUUAGGUGUUUAAAAACCAAUGAAUAUUUUUUAUAAGAAAUCAACAAUAUUGUUGAAAGAAAAACCAAAUAAAAAUAAUAAAGCAAUGCAUAGAUUAAGGCUCUUUAUUAUCUAAUAACUAAUCAAACUAAGUUGUGGGUAAAGGCGAAUAUGUUUGUUUGGCCAAUAAUAAACUCAAGGAAUCACCAAUAAUCACCUAGUUACUAUUCCUUAUGCCAUGCAAUGUAAUGGCGUCGGUAAUGGCGACAAGGCAGGCAAUAACUAGCUAGCUAGUUAUGAUAGUUGCUUAACUUAACCUACUGGAAAUCUGAAGACCAAAAUGAAGAAACUUUGUCUAGAACUAGAAUAGGAAAACAUUCAUACCCAAAACCAAUAUACAUGAUUAAGAAACUUGAUUAUAUGUAUAUUUUUGUUUGCCACACCAAAUCCCACUAUUUCCAUACUCAUAAGCACAAAAAACCAUCGCAAAAAUGAAUGACCAUAUAAAAUAAAAUAGGUCGUAGGACAUUGAGUAUAGGACAAUAUGAUUUAUGUACCGUAAAAUAACUAUAUCUGCAGUCAACUAUAUUUCUGUUCGAACUCUAAAGUUUUCCAUUAAAUUUUUUCCCCUGUUAGGUAAACCACUUAACUGAAACACUUAAGCAAGAUUGACAAUCAUAGACAUAAAAGUAUUAGGCUCGUUCAAGUGAAAUGAGCAUUAUUUGACAUAUCCUUUAGGCUUUUAAGUCAUUUAGAAGUCAUUCAUGUUAAACAAUUUCUUCAUAUACUUUCAAUAUAAUUAGUACAUACACAAUUAAUUAAUUAAAUAAAUCUGUUUCAGCUAGCACAGGAACUUAAGCAAUCAGAGCUAUUAGUUAUAGCUAGGACUUGAAUGAGGCACCUUUCAAAGUUCAAGAGGAGCAUCUGAACAGAAUGAAAGCAUUUUGUAGAAAUGGUAGUGAUGCUUUACAUCUACAUGCUCUUACACAAUAUGAACUUUCAUUUAUUCAAGAACAUAACACUAAUCCAAGCUCUUACUCUACAAGUCAAUUCAGUUUGUAGAUGCAAGCCAUUGUAAAAACUUUUGUGUUAUAAUUUCCGUAAAUGGAACAUGACAUUACUAAUAUAGAAUCAGCAAUGUUAUAUAACUUAUCAGACAAUAUAACAAGCACUUGGCGAGCAUAUAAGAUAAACUAAAACAAGUUAAUUAGAAAAUGAAACUAAAACCCAAGCUCCGCUAUUCAUUGUAGAAGCUUUAAACAUAAAAUAAAAGUAAAUCUAAAUACAUGAUUGUAAAACAUUAGAAUGAAUGUUGAAAUGAAAGCUAAAUUCAAUAGUAAUCCAAAUGAAUCCAUUUGAACUUUGUAAAUUCCGCAGAACAAAAUUAAUUUGAGUGAGCAAAGUCACCAAUGGAACAAGAACAGAAGGGCUUCAACUUCUAGGAACAAGAAAUAUUGCCGGCGGGACAAAAAUUGACAUUAAUGGUUACAAUACGAAUUAAAGAAAUCAAAACCUAUAAUUACAAGCUAAGAAAGAGAAGAAACUCAUAAUCACAAGCUUACCUGAAACGAUGAGAGAGAUAAUAAGAUGAAGAAGAAGAUCGCCGCCGUUUUACGCCAUUCUCCGGCUACCAGUAAGGUUUAGGAUGGCCAGGCACGCACGAGAGAGAAUUUGGGACUUUGGUUUUGAAAAUAUUGACUUCAGCAAAUAGUUUUCUAUUUAGAAACAAAUUUAUAACUCUACCGUCAAAA
This 2976-nucleotide long non-coding RNA is filed under the name Citrus maxima (pomelo). RNAcentral describes it as "long non-coding RNA (CMAX_LNC001255)". Lineage: Eukaryota; Viridiplantae; Streptophyta; Magnoliopsida; Sapindales; Rutaceae. The record is from RNAcentral.